AUAUUACCGAGACUCCAGUACUAUAGUCUCGUUUUCGAUUUUAAGGUAUUCAAAUCAACGAUCCAUACUGUUAAAAUUGAUCUAGUGUAUUUAAAAUUUUUAGAAAUAAAAUUUUAUAUUUUUUCAAUAUAGUUUACCUUAUGAUCAAAUCAUUUCAAAAUUGUCAAUUUUCAAUGACUACUACGUCGAGUUUGAAGUUUAACGGUGUAGAAGAAUCUAAAUUUCUUCAAAUUUUGAUAGAAAAUACUUUAAACUAUCUAGAUUAAGGUUAACAUUCUUAAUCUUGAAUUUAAAAGUUCUAUACUCAAAUUUUAAAGAUUAUUUAAUUUUUACCGUUCAUUUUGAUAUAAUUUAUUUAGUAAGUAAACGAUGUCGAAAAAACUAAAAUUUUAUUCCUAAAAACUUCAUACAUCCUAUAUCAUUUUUAAUGGUAUGGAUCGUUAAUUUGAAUCUAAGAUCGAAAACAAGAUUAUAGUACUGGAGCUCCGGUACUAUAGAUAGUAUAGUAGCCUAAUUCUUAUUAUACACAUAUAUAUUUCCCUUGACAGUAUUAUUUUCUGUUUUCCAUUCUAUUUUGUAUGUUUUGUAUUAAAAUUGUUGAGAUCGAGCGCGGCUCUAAUGAUAUACCCUAUAUUAUUUUUAAUGGUACGGAUCGUUAAUUUGAACCUAAAAUCGAA
This 677-nucleotide long non-coding RNA is filed under the name Ananas comosus (pineapple). RNAcentral describes it as "long non-coding RNA (ACOM_LNC014371)". The record is from RNAcentral. Lineage: Eukaryota; Viridiplantae; Streptophyta; Magnoliopsida; Poales; Bromeliaceae.